AGAGUUUGAUCCUGGCUCAGGAUGAACGCUGGCGGCGUGCCUAAUACAUGCAAGUCGAGCGAACGGACGAGAAGCUUGCUUCUCUGAUGUUAGCGGCGGACGGGUGAGUAACACGUGGAUAACCUACCUAUAAGACUGGGAUAACUUCGGGAAACCGGAGCUAAUACCGGAUAAUAUUUUGAACCGCAUGGUUCAAAAGUAAAAGACGGUCUUGCUGUCACUUAUAGAUGGAUCCGCGCUGCAUUAGCUAGUUGGUAAGGUAACGGCUUACCAAGGCAACGAUGCAUAGCCGAACUGAGAGGGUGAUCGGCCACACUGGAACUGAGACACGGUCCAGACUCCUACGGGAGGCAGCAGUAGGGAAUCUUCCGCAAUGGGCGAAAGCCUGACGGAGCAACGCCGCGUGAGUGAUGAAGGUCUUCGGAUCGUAAAACUCUGUUAUUAGGGAAGAACAUAUGUGUAAGUAACUGUGCACAUCUUGACGGUACCUAAUCAGAAAGCCACGGCUAACUACGUGCCAGCAGCCGCGGUAAUACGUAGGUGGCAAGCGUUAUCCGGAAUUAUUGGGCGUAAAGCGCGCGUAGGCGGUUUUUUAAGUCUGAUGUGAAAGCCCACGGCUCAACCGUGGAGGGUCAUUGGAAACUGGAAAACUUGAGUGCAGAAGAGGAAAGUGGAAUUCCAUGUGUAGCGGUGAAAUGCGCAGAGAUAUGGAGGAACACCAGUGGCGAAGGCGACUUUCUGGUCUGUAACUGACGCUGAUGUGCGAAAGCGUGGGGAUCAAACAGGAUUAGAUACCCUGGUAGUCCACGCCGUAAACGAUGAGUGCUAAGUGUUAGGGGGUUUCCGCCCCUUAGUGCUGCAGCUAACGCAUUAAGCACUCCGCCUGGGGAGUACGACCGCAAGGUUGAAACUCAAAGGAAUUGACGGGGACCCGCACAAGCGGUGGAGCAUGUGGUUUAAUUCGAAGCAACGCGAAGAACCUUACCAAAUCUUGACAUCCUUUGACAACUCUAGAGAUAGAGCCUUCCCCUUCGGGGGACAAAGUGACAGGUGGUGCAUGGUUGUCGUCAGCUCGUGUCGUGAGAUGUUGGGUUAAGUCCCGCAACGAGCGCAACCCUUAAGCUUAGUUGCCAUCAUUAAGUUGGGCACUCUAAGUUGACUGCCGGUGACAAACCGGAGGAAGGUGGGGAUGACGUCAAAUCAUCAUGCCCCUUAUGAUUUGGGCUACACACGUGCUACAAUGGACAAUACAAAGGGCAGCGAAACCGCGAGGUCAAGCAAAUCCCAUAAAGUUGUUCUCAGUUCGGAUUGUAGUCUGCAACUCGACUACAUGAAGCUGGAAUCGCUAGUAAUCGUAGAUCAGCAUGCUACGGUGAAUACGUUCCCGGGUCUUGUACACACCGCCCGUCACACCACGAGAGUUUGUAACACCCGAAGCCGGUGGAGUAACCUUUUAGGAGCUAGCCGUCGAAGGUGGGACAAAUGAUUGGGGUGAAGUCGUAACAAGGUAGCCGUAUCGGAAGGUGCGGCUGGAUCACCU
This 1540-nucleotide ribosomal RNA is filed under the name Staphylococcus aureus M0277. RNAcentral describes it as "16S ribosomal RNA". It matches the Rfam family "Bacterial small subunit ribosomal RNA". Lineage: Bacteria; Bacillati; Bacillota; Bacilli; Caryophanales; Staphylococcaceae. The record is from RNAcentral.